This is a non-coding RNA of Acanthosepion pharaonis, 113 nucleotides long. The record is from the annotation of a GenBank genome assembly. Lineage: Eukaryota; Metazoa; Mollusca; Cephalopoda; Sepiida; Sepiidae.
UAUGGCCACAUCAUGUUUAAACACCAGUUCCAGUACAAUCACCAAAGUUAAGCAAUAUUGAGCCUGGUCAGUAGCUAGAUGGGUGGCCACUUGGAAAUACGAGGUACUGUAAG